AAUAAAACCUUUCUUCACUUCACAGUCUCCAGUAUAAAAGCGUCCACGAGGGGGAGACCUUGUAAUUUCCAGAAUUCAAUUUCUCGGGAUUCUAUUUUUUCAUUUUCCCUCUAUUUUCAAAAAGGUCUCCGCGCGAGAGAGGAGAAAAAGAUCUCGAAGUUUCUUGGACUGAAACCCUAACUUUCCCGAGAAAACAAGCAAAUCAUGCCGCGAGAAAUCAUCACUCUGCAAGUGGGACAAUGCGGCAACCAGAUCGGAAUGGAGUUCUGGAAGCAGCUGUGUCUCGAGCACGGCAUCAGCAAAGAAGGCAUUCUCGAGGAUUUCGCUACUCAGGGUGGUGACAGGAAGGAUGUGUUCUUCUAUCAAGCUGAUGAUCAGCACUACAUACCACGAGCUCUACUGAUUGAUUUGGAGCCGAGAGUAAUUAAUGGUAUUCAAAACAGUGAAUAUCGAAACCUCUACAACCAUGAGAACAUAUUUGUUUCAGAUCACGGAGGGGGUGCAGGAAAUAAUUGGGCCAGUGGAUAUCAUCAGGGAAAGGGUGUUGAAGAGGAUAUAAUGGAUAUGAUUGACAGAGAAGCUGAUGGAAGUGAUAGUCUUGAGGGUUUUGUUCUAUGCCAUUCAAUAGCUGGAGGAACAGGCUCAGGUAUGGGUUCAUAUCUCUUGGAGACUCUGAAUGAUCGCUACAGCAAAAAACUUGUUCAGACAUACAGUGUAUUUCCUAACCAGAUGGAGACAAGUGAUGUUGUGGUCCAGCCAUACAACUCACUUUUGACACUCAAGCGACUAACACUAAAUGCUGAUUGUGUUGUUGUUCUUGAUAACACUGCACUUAAUAGAAUUGCUGUGGAGCGCCUUCACCUAUCAAAUCCUACCUUUGCUCAAACAAAUUCUUUGGUUUCUACUGUAAUGUCUGCAAGCACAACCACACUGCGGUAUCCAGGAUACAUGAACAAUGACCUAGUUGGCCUUCUUGCCUCUUUGAUUCCAACACCUAGGUGCCAUUUUCUAAUGACAGGAUAUACACCACUCACAGUGGAGCGCCAGGCUAAUGUGAUUCGUAAAACUACUGUACUAGACGUCAUGAGAAGACUUCUGCAGACCAAGAAUAUUAUGGUUUCCUCAUAUGCUCGUACAAAAGAAGCUAGUCAAGCAAAGUACAUAUCGAUUCUAAAUAUAAUUCAAGGAGAAGUGGACCCUACUCAGGUUCAUGAAAGUUUGCAGAGAAUACGUGAAAGAAAGCUUGUUAAUUUUAUUGAAUGGGGACCUGCAAGCAUUCAGGUUGCUCUAUCUAGGAAGUCUCCCUAUGUUCAAACUGCCCAUAGGGUCAGUGGUCUUAUGCUCGCUAGCCAUACAAGUAUCCGACACCUAUUCAGCAAAUGCCUGAGCCAGUACGAGAAGUUGAGAAAGAAGCAAGCCUUUCUUGACAACUAUAGGAAGUUCCCAAUGUUUGCUGACAAUGAUCUUUCAGAAUUUGAUGAAUCAAGAGACAUUAUUGAGAGUUUGGUUGAUGAAUACAAGGCAUGCGAGUCCCCAGACUAUAUUAAAUGGGGGAUGGAGGAUCCAGACCACAUUCUAACAGGAGAAGGCAAUGCUUCAGGGGCAGUGGAUCCAAAGUUAGCAGUGUGAACCAAGGUGGUGGGUGGUGUUGUCUCUUGAAUCAUUAUUAAGUGGGAGCGCUGUUCUGGCUGUUUCUUCAUUUCAUAGCUGACUAACUGUUUAAAUCUGUGGGAAAAACACCCCUUUUCGGAGCCUCUAUUUCCCCCAAGAAGUGAAGUGUAUAAGGGUUCAAGCAAACACCAACUUGAGGUUUUAGAGUGCUGCUAAAAGGGCUGAAGUGGGACUGUAAAGCGGAUUUACCUUUAUAUUUGAUUUCUUGGUGCCUUGUGGAACAUGGAAUGGUAUGUAAUGACAUUUAUCUUUGGGUGUUUCAUUUUGUUAAUCCCUUAUAUAUUCACAUAUCCCAGAGAGAAUGAAUACUGAGUCUCACUUUAUACAUGAGCUUUCCCAGCUUUAUUUUUAUA
Vitis riparia (riverbank grape) is the source of this 2024-nucleotide RNA transcript. It is a transcript of the gene named tubulin gamma-1 chain, with no coding region annotated. The record is from RefSeq and is a predicted model, not a curated record. The transcript has 13 exons. Lineage: Eukaryota; Viridiplantae; Streptophyta; Magnoliopsida; Vitales; Vitaceae.